This 256-nucleotide unclassified non-coding RNA is filed under the name fungal sp. RNAcentral describes it as "partial internal transcribed spacer region". The stretch from base 1 to 46 matches the Rfam family "Eukaryotic small subunit ribosomal RNA", at positions 1786 to 1831 of the family's 1831-position model. Lineage: Eukaryota; Fungi. The record is from RNAcentral.
AAGUCGUAACAAGGUAACCGUAGGUGAACCUGCGGUUGGAUCAUUACUGAUUACCAGCUCUAUGGGUUGAUUCGCAAGAGUCCCCGUAGGGUUGAUCAACCCUUUGUGCACUGUAUUGUUUUUGGGUUUCCUACAUAGGUGGGCGUUUAUCUUUAUUCACGCCCAACUGGAGGCCCAGCAUUUAUACAAACCAUACCAAUUUUGACUUAAUCUAUGAAAAUAGAAACAACUUUUGACAACGGAUCUCUUGGCUCUC